Molecule: ribosomal RNA, 433 nt
Filed under: uncultured bacterium
Lineage: Bacteria
Description: partial 16S ribosomal RNA
Rfam family: Bacterial small subunit ribosomal RNA
Source: RNAcentral
AACGAACGCUGGCGGCAGGCCUAACACAUGCAAGUCGAGCGAGGACUUCGGUCCUAGCGGCGGACGGGUGAGUAACGCGUGGGAACGUGCCCUUUGCUUCGGAAUAGCCCUGGGAAACUGGGAGUAAUACCGGAUGAGCCCUUUGGGGGAAAGAUUUAUCGGCGAAGGAUCGGCCCGCGUUGGAUUAGGUAGUUGGUGGGGUAAUGGCCUACCAAGUCGACGAUCCAUAGCUGGUUUGAGAGGAUGAUCAGCCACACUGGGACUGAGACACGGCCCAGACUCCUACGGGAGGCAGCAGUGGGGAAUCUUAGACAAUGGGGGAAACCCUGAUCUAGCCAUGCCGCGUGAGCGAUGAAGGCCUUAGGGUUGUAAAGCUCUUUCAGCUGGGAAGAUAAUGACGGUACCAGCAGAAGAAGCCCCGGCUAACUCCGUG